UACGUAGGGGGCAAGCGUUGUCCGGAAUCAUUGGGCGUAAAGCGCUCGUAGGCGGAUCAGUAAGUCUGUGAAGAAAGACCCGGGCUCAACUCGGGGAACGGCAUGGAUACUAUUGGUCUUGAGGUAAUCAGAGGAUGAUGGAAUUCCCGGUGUAGCGGUGAAAUGCGUAGAUAUUGGGAAGAACACCGGUGGCGAAGGCGGCGACCUGGUCCUUGACUGACGCUGAGGCGCGAAAGCGUGGGGAGCAAACAGG
This 253-nucleotide ribosomal RNA is filed under the name uncultured prokaryote. RNAcentral's name for it is "partial 16S ribosomal RNA". It matches the Rfam family "Bacterial small subunit ribosomal RNA", at positions 524 to 776 of the family's 1533-position model. The record is from RNAcentral.